GACGAACGCUGGCGGCGUGCCUAAUACAUGCAAGUUGAGCGCUGAAGGUUGGUACUUGUACCGACUGGAUGAGCAGCGCACGGGUGAGUAACGCGUGGGGAAUCUGCCUUUGAGCGGGGGACAACAUUUGGAAACGAAUGCUAAUACCGCAUAAAAACUUUAAACACAAGUUUUAAGUUUGAAAGAUGCAAUUGCAUCACUCAAAGAUGAUCCCGCGUUGUAUAGCUAGUUGGUGAGGUAAAGGCUCACCAAGGCGAUGAUACAUAGCCGACCUGAGAGGGUGAUCGGCCACAUUGGGACUGAGACACGGCCCAAACUCCUACGGGAGGCAGCAGUAGGGAAUCUUCGGCAAUGGACGAAAGUCUGACCGAGCAACGCCGCGUGAGUGAAGAAGGUUUUCGGAUCGUAAAACUCUGUUGGUAGAGAAGAACGUUGGUGAGAGUGGAAAGCUCAUCAAGUGACGGUAACUACCCAGAAAGGGACGGCUAACUACGUG
RNAcentral lists this ribosomal RNA (496 nucleotides) under uncultured bacterium. RNAcentral's name for it is "partial 16S ribosomal RNA". It matches the Rfam family "Bacterial small subunit ribosomal RNA", at positions 28 to 507 of the family's 1533-position model. The record is from RNAcentral.